AGGCAGCCGCUGGUAUUGAUAUCAGAGGAAAGUCCAUGCUCGCACGAUCUGCGAUGAUCGUAGUGUUUGUGCUGGUCCAAUCAAUAAGGCCAGGCAUCCCGCAAGGGAUGACGGCGGAGCUGAAACCUACAGAGCAAUCCAUGGUCAAGGCCCUUAAGGUGUCACAGUGACGAAGCUGACGGGGAAACCUGUCAGGUGGAACGAGAUAAACCCCGCAAGCGGGAAACCCAAAUGUGGUAGGGGAACCGGAACAUCCCAAAUGAAGGAUCGAACGGGUACUUUUGUACAGAUAAAUGGCUGCCGCUCUUCUUUGAAGAGAACAGAACAUGGCUUAU
RNAcentral lists this RNase P RNA (335 nucleotides) under uncultured Bulleidia sp. Its description in RNAcentral is "Bacterial RNase P class B". It matches the Rfam family "Bacterial RNase P class B". From Rfam's summary of the family: Ribonuclease P (RNase P) is a ubiquitous endoribonuclease, found in archaea, bacteria and eukarya as well as chloroplasts and mitochondria. Its best characterised activity is the generation of mature 5'-ends of tRNAs by cleaving the 5'-leader elements of precursor-tRNAs. Cellular RNase Ps are ribonucleoproteins. The record is from RNAcentral. Lineage: Bacteria; Bacillati; Bacillota; Erysipelotrichia; Erysipelotrichales; Erysipelotrichaceae.